GAUGCAGAGGUCUUCAAUUGUUCUUGGUUUUGUCGCACAUGCAGUCUUUCUCAUUGCCUCUUAUCUUGAUGUUCCUUUACGAUACCCGCUGCACUUAGGAGGUUCUCGUUCGCACAUUUGUGACUAUGCGCCAUCAACAGAGGCCACAAAAUCUGAUUCAACUGUCAGUUCAGUUGUUGAUGCUAGUGCGAAGCC
This is a long non-coding RNA of Phalaenopsis equestris, 195 nucleotides long. RefSeq lists it as uncharacterized. The transcript has 2 exons. Lineage: Eukaryota; Viridiplantae; Streptophyta; Magnoliopsida; Asparagales; Orchidaceae. The record is from RefSeq and is a predicted model, not a curated record.